RNAcentral lists this small RNA (20 nucleotides) under Arabidopsis thaliana (thale cress). Its description in RNAcentral is "ATSL236300". The record is from RNAcentral. Lineage: Eukaryota; Viridiplantae; Streptophyta; Magnoliopsida; Brassicales; Brassicaceae.
AAGAGAAAUUCCAAAAACCA